RNAcentral lists this transfer RNA (89 nucleotides) under Chloroflexota bacterium. RNAcentral's name for it is "tRNA-Ser". It matches the Rfam family "tRNA". Rfam says of the family: Transfer RNA (tRNA) molecules are approximately 80 nucleotides in length. RNAcentral also lists the same sequence under 2 other names. The record is from RNAcentral. Lineage: Bacteria; Bacillati; Chloroflexota.
GGAAAGGUGGCCGAGUGGUUUAAGGCGGCGGUCUUGAAAACCGCUGUGGGGCUCUGUCCUCACCGUGAGUUCGAAUCUCACCCUUUCCG